This 138-nucleotide ribosomal RNA is filed under the name uncultured bacterium. Its description in RNAcentral is "partial 16S ribosomal RNA". The record is from RNAcentral.
UACGGGAGGCAGCAGUGGGGAAUAUUAUACAAUGCAGGCAACCCUAAUCCAGCCCUGCCGCGUGUGUGAAAGAAAGGCCUUUCGCUUGUAAAGCUCAUUCUUGCAUGUGAAGAAGACCUAAUUGGUUAAUACCGUAGA